This 493-nucleotide ribosomal RNA is filed under the name uncultured bacterium. Its description in RNAcentral is "partial 16S ribosomal RNA". It matches the Rfam family "Bacterial small subunit ribosomal RNA", at positions 28 to 507 of the family's 1533-position model. The record is from RNAcentral.
GACGAACGCUGGCGGCGUGCCUAACACAUGCAAGUUGAGCGACGAACCAGGGCUUGCCCUGGGGCAAAGCAGCGAACGGGUGAGUAACACGUGGGUAACCUGCCCCGAUAACCGGGACAACCCGAGGAAACUCGGGCUAAUACCGGAUGUGCUCACUGGACUUCGGUUCAGUGCGUAAAGGAAGCUUCGGCCUCCGUAUCGGGAGGGGCCCGCGGCCCAUUAGUUUGUUGGUGAGGUAACGGCUCACCAAGACCGCGAUGGGUAGCUGGUCUGAGAGGACGAUCAGCCACACUGGGACUGAGACACGGCCCAGACUCCUACGGGAGGCAGCAGUGGGGAAUCUUGCGCAAUGCGCGAAAGCGUGACGCAGCAACGCCGCGUGGGGGAAGAAGGCCUUCGGGUUGUAAACCCCUUUCAGGAGGGACGAAGGUUCGGCGGUGAAUAGCCGUCCGGACUGACGGUACCUCCACAAGAAGCCCCGGCUAACUACGUG